Molecule: long non-coding RNA, 18166 nt
Filed under: Solanum tuberosum (potato)
Lineage: Eukaryota; Viridiplantae; Streptophyta; Magnoliopsida; Solanales; Solanaceae
Description: long non-coding RNA (STUB_LNC001179)
Source: RNAcentral
AGCGAAGGUUGGGUGGACAUUCCACAUUGUGACAAUUUCCCACCAAACCUUAAGAAGUUAACAUUAUGCAGAACACACCUACAAUGGGAAGACAUGAACAUUCUCAGAAAAUUACCUAAUCUUGAGGUGCUCAAACUUAAACAUCAUGCCUUUGACGGACUAACUUGGAUACUAAGCGAUGAAGACGAAGAUGGAUUCUUGAAGCUAAAGUUUUUACUUCUUGAGCACAUGCAUCUGAAGCAAUGGGAAGCAACAAGUUAUCAUUUUCCAAGCCUUGAGCAUUUAGUCCUAACAGAUUGCUAUUCAUUGGAGCAAAUUCCUUUAGACUUUGCAGAGAUUCAAAUACUACAGCUGAUUGAACUACACAAAUGUAUGCUUUCUGUUCUUAUUUCAGCAGAGCAAAUACAAGAGGAGCAACAAAGCUUGGGAAAUGAUGACCUUGUUAUUCGUGUGAACUAUAUACGUGAGUAAACAUUAAUAAAGAAGUUACACAUUUUCAUCUAGAAAAGCAUAAAAAAUCAUUUUCGUUCUUCCUAAUAUAUGUGUGUUCAUUUUUUCAUUUAUUUAUACUAUAAAAGGUGCUAAUUACAAUUGGUUUGCAAGAGUUGAUCAAGGCAUUGCAAAAGAGAAGUCACAACAGCAUAUGCCGCCAAUCGCUGUUUGUUUCUUACCAAAACAUGGUAGAUUAGGGAGUUCUGAGUUCUUGAUCAAGAUGCCCAAACUAAAGUCAAUUCACUAAGCAUUUUCUUUAGAAAGAAAAGAAGUGUACAAAAUGUUUUUUUAUAAGAUUCAAGUUGGAAUAAACAACACAUUAUAGUCAAACUGAGAAAUGGUAUACAAUAUUGAAUUUUCAACUUCACAGAUAAAAUCACUGUUAAAUUUGUCUAGGGUUGUCAAAAUCAAACCCAACCCGUUUAAGUUUGGGCGGGUUAUUGACCCCCCCAUUCAUUAGCUUAACCCAUUAAAAAUUGACUUGAUAUGUAACCCGAAUUGGCUCAUGAGAAAUCUUGUCAAAAUAUUUUUAAAGAACUUUUUAUUCAAUUUGAUAGGUUAUAUAUAGCCAUAAUAGAAUAAAAUAAUUUUAUUAGGUACUAAAAUAGUUUAAAAGAACAAAUAAAUUCAUUAAGCUUAGUAAAAAUUGAGUUGGGUUGAUCUUGACCCGUUACCUAAUCCGUUUUGGCCCGUGCAAAUUUGAGUUGGGUUGAUAUUUAAUUCAUUACCCAAAUUCGAACCAACCCACUCAAUUGCCAUCCCUAAAUUUGUCUUACCUUUCCCUCCCCAAUUACCUCUUUAAAAAUUGGCACAAAUGAAGAAAGUGCAUUGACCCAAAUGAGGAAAUCAGUUGAAAAGCUUGGAUCUUACACUGAAGUAAGAAAAAAUGAGUUCCCUUUUCCUCUUUUAGUGUAAAGUUCAAAUCUUUGUACUGGUAAUCAGUUUUUUUUUUCUUUUGCAGAGUUAUGGAGAGCAACACUUAUGAGGUUCUUGAUUGCAAGAGUAAUUUCGUUCCCCUCAUAGUAAAGUUUCCUUUUUUUUCUCAAUACAUUGCAUUUUUGUUGUUGUUGAUCUUGUUUGUGCUUAGUUAUUUAUUUCAUAAUGUCACCCUUUUCUUGAUUCCAAUUUUUUUUGACAAAGAAAGUCACUUUAUGAAAUAAUAAUUAUUAGUUGAAUGACCAUCUUAGAAAUGAACUCGUUUUUCUAUAAGAAAUAUUCUUGUUGGUUCACUCAAUGAUGCCUUUUCAUCUUUUAUUAUCUUUAAUUUAGUCACUGUUAUGAAGUUUCAAAUUUCACAGAUCAAACUCCAGGAUAUUGUCAUGGAGUAAAAGUAACUUGUAGAAUUUGAAAUUACCUUACAAUAGUUAUUUUUCAAAGAUAUGACCGAAAAAAGGACUUUUCUCCAGUAUGAAUGCAGUUUGGACAAGUUGUAUGACUUUGGGCCUCAUUUGACAAACUAUUCCAAUUUGCUUUUUUGAACAAGUCUUAUAUACCAUUUAAGUCUCAAUGAACAAAUCCAACUAUGUGACUUAUCUUUACAUAGCCUAAAAGUCUUGAAUUCCCAUCCAUUACAUUGGCUUUGGCCUUUGGGCAUCUAAAUCAAGAACGCAGAACUUCCUAGUAUUCCACAUUCAUCCUACUGUCCUAUUUAGUAAGAAACUAACAAACAGCGAUAUGGCGGCGUAUGCUGCUGUGACUUCACUUUUGCAUACCCUGGAUAAUCUAUCUCAAACUCAUACAUCACAUUCUCUUCUUUACAAAAAAGAGCAAACUGAAGUCCUCAGUGACAAGUACACCUUCCUUAAAACCUUUCUUGAGGAUUUUACUAAUAUUUUCCAUGAAGAUAUAAAGAUGAAGCAUCUCGAAAGGAUGAUCCAAGAAGCUGCUAAUGGAGUGGAAGAUACCAUCGACUCACAUGUAUAUGAUAGCUCUGUCGUAGUGCAAAGCAAGCGAGUACGAAGAAAGGCUGAUAUGAUCUUUCAUCAAAACUUGGAAUAUGCAAUUGAGGAAAUUGAUUUGAUACAAAGAGAGGUUAUUGAAAAGAUAAAGGUCAACAAGUUCAACAGCAAAAUCUCUCAUUCAAGAGAAACUUCAUCUCAGAUUCCUAUGGAUCAAAAAGAUAUAAUCGUUGGACUAGAUGAAGAUUUACUAAAGAAUAAAAGAUCGACUCAUCGUGCAAUCAUCAAGCCUCGAAGUUGUCCCCAUUAUAGGGAUGGGUGGUAUUGGCAAGACCACACUGGCUAGAAGAGUUUAUGAUGAUUCCUUGAUUGCAUACCAUUUUUAUGUUCGAGCAUGGACAAAUGUAUCUCAAGAAUUUGACACUAGAGAAAUUUUUCUUGGUAUUCUUUGCUCCAUCAACGAUGAAGUAGAAAGAAACAGUACUACUGAGCAAUUGGCUGAAAGAGUUUAUCGAAGUUUAAAAGGGAGGAAGUAUCUCAUUAUCCUUGAUGAUAUGUGGUCUAUCGAUGCUUGGCAGCAUGUUAGGAGAUCAUUUCCGGAUGAUCAUAAUGGAAGUCGAAUCGUGUUGACCACGAGGCUUGUAGAUGUUGCAUCUUGUGCUAGUUCUGGCAAUUCCCUUCACCAGAUGCGUUUUCUGAGCAUGGAGGAAAGCUGGACUCUUUUACGCGAGAAGGUCUUUGGGAACGGUAGUUACCCUCCGGAAUUGGAGAAAAUUGGGAGAUACAUUGUCCAUCAGUGUCAAGGGUUGCCACUUGCAGUUGUUGCAACUGGUGGACUACUUUCCAAGAUGAGCAAGGAAACAAGUUCUUGGGAAAAUGUUGCAGAAAAGGUAGGAUCACUCAUGACAAGUGACACUAUGGAUUGCUUGAACAUACUCUCUUUGAGCUACAACCACUUGCCUCAAUACUUGAAAACAUGCUUCCUUUAUAUGGGAGUUUUGCUAGAAACUCGUGAGAUCCCGGUCUGGAAGUUAAUAAGGUUAUGGAUUGCUGAGGGGUUCGUCAAGAAAGUUCAACAUGAAAAUCUAGAAGAUGUGGCGGAGGAAAAAUUUGAGGGAGUUGGUUGAUAGAAGUUUGGUUUGGUGGGGAAGCAUACUUCCCUAGGAAAAAUCAAGACUUGUAAGAUGCAUGAUCUCGUUCGAGAUAUGUGUUUGAGAGAAGCCCAAUAUGAGAAUUUUAUACACUUCAAAACGAGGUAUUACCAAGAUGAUCUUCUAGAAAACAUUAAUUGUCUACGUCGUAUAGUUGAUUUCCAUAAGUAUACAGACAGUGGACUUUCUAAACUUAUGCCACUCACACGUUCUGUUUUCUUCAAAUAUCCAUACUUUUUUUGUUUCCUCUCACAGUCAAGCUUUAGAUUACUUAGGAUAUUAGAUGUUUGCUUUACUUCUUCUUUGUUCUGUGGUCAGUCCAUAUCAGAACUUGUUCAUUUGAGGUAUCUUGCUUGUCCGUCCUUCAAUGGUCUUAUGCAAUCACUAUGCAAGAUACGGAAUAUACAGAACUUAGUUAUUCAUGAUUUAUGUCCAUCUGGUUUAAGUAUGCGAACCCAGUUCCUACCAUGGGAAGUUGUGAAUAUGCCUCAACUAAGACAUAUCCAUACAAAAAAGUUUAGUCUUUUCAUACCCCCACCUACAUCACUAAUUGCUAAGAGGGAGAAUCAUUUACAAACGUUAACCGGAUUGAUGCCCUCAUCUUGUAAUGAAGAGGUGUUUCUAAGAAUUCCAAAUUUGAAGAAGUUGGGAAUAUUAAUUGUUGAUGAUUCAGACACUAUUCAGAAGUGUUAUUGUCUUGAUAAUCUUGUACAUUUAUCUCAGCUUGAGAAGCUCAAAGUUCAGUUCAGAGAGAGUUAUAUGCUAAUUUUCAGGUGGAUGAGCGAAGAUUGGAUGGACCUUUCUUCGCUACACAUUCCACAUUGUGACAAUUUCCCACCAAACCUUAAGAAGUUAACAUUGUGCAGAACACACAUACAAUGGGAAGACAUGAACAUUCUUAGAAAAUUACCUAAUCUUGAGGUGCUCAAACUUAAACAUCAUGCCUUUCUCGGACUAAUUUGGAAACUAAGCGAUGAAGAUGAAGAUGGAUUCUUGAAGCUAAAGUUUUUACUUCUUGAGAACAUGAAUCUGAUGCAAUGGGAAGCAACAAGUUAUCAUUUCCCAAACCUUGAGCACUUGGUUCUAACAGAUUGCUAUUUGUUGGAGCAAAUGCCUUUUGACUUUGCAGAGAUUCAGACACUACAGCUGAUUGAACUACACAAAUGUAAGUGUUCUGUUCUUGUUUCAGCAGAGCAAAUACAAGAGGAGCAACAAAGCUUGGGAAAUGAUGACCUCGUUAUUCAUGUGAACUAUAUACGUGAGUAAACAUUAAUCAAAAAAGGUAUACAUUUCUUAAAAGCAUAAAGAUUUUACUUGCUUCUUUUGUUUACAAUAAUGUUUUAUCAUUUUGAAUAUGUUGACUUUUAGUCAAUUUUAUUUUUUCUUUAGUUCAAAACAAUAUAAUAAAAGAGUUUAUGAUGAUUCCUUGAUUGCAUACCAUUUUUAUGUUCGAGCAUGGACAAAUGUAUCUCAAGAAUUUGACACUAGAGAAAUUUUUCUUGGUAUUCUUCGCUCCAUUGGCGUGGUCAACGAUGAAGUAGAAAGAAACAGUACUAAUGAGCAAUUGGCUGAAAGAGUUUAUCGAAGUUUAAAAGGGAGGAAGUAUCUCAUUAUCCUAGAUGAUAUGUGGUCCAUCGAGGCUUGGAAGCAUGUGAGGAGACUAUUUCCGGAUGAUCAUAAUGGAAGUCGAAUCGUGUUAACCACGAGGCUUGUAGAUGUUGCAUCUUGUGCUUGCUCUGGCAAUUCCCUUCACCAGAUGCGCUUUCUGAGUGUGGCGGAAAGCUGGACUGUAACAUCCGGCAAUUUGAAAUAACUAUGAAGAAGCUUGGAAUUGGAAAUAGUCAUUUUUGGAAAGACUUUUAAAAAAAUCUGGAAAAUUUGGUUGUUAAGUAUGGGUAAAAGGUGAGUUUUUGGCCAACUUUGAACAGUCAUAACGUCUAGCUCAAGAUGAGUUAGGUGUAGUUCCAGUUAUGUUUACAAAGCUCGUGGAAUGAUCUUUCCAACGCCAUCGAGUUUUCUCGAUUCUGAGUUCGUAUGAGUGAGUUAUGCCCUUUGGAAAUUGGGCAGUUGGCAGGGAAGUCCGUCCGGAAAUUUUAAGGGUAUUUUGGUCUUUUCCCUAACCAAUUCUUUUGGAUAUAUUAAGGUGUUAGACUGAUUUUAGAUCAGUUUUUCCCUUUUUGAAAGAGUGAGAGUGAGGGUUUGUGAGUAAAGAGGAAAAGAAGGGGAGAAAGAGAAGAUCAAGCAAGGUUUCGUCAAAGAUCGUCGUGGAUAUUGUCGGGGGUGAUCCCUACUAGGUAUGUGAGAUCAUAGUGUUUGGUUGGUUCAUUCCCCCACACGCCAAAUUCGUUUUAAUAUCCGAGAAAAGAUUUGGUUGUGUUUAUUGAAGUCUUGUGGUUGUGGUUGGUGAGGUUGUGGUUGUGUUAUUGAAGUUCUUGUGGAUUUGAGACAUGUUUUAGGUUGUGUUUUCGAGUUGAAUCUAUUGUGUAUUAAGGGGUUUUAAUGAUCCCAAGUGUUUGGGGAAGGAACCUUUGAAGUUAAGAGGGUUUAGAGUUGGUAACAUGAAGGAGAAAAGUCGGGCAGCUUGCAUGAAACAAGUCUGCGUCGCAGACUUGUUCCCUCUGUGAACAAAUCUGCUCCGCGUCGCGGACAGGACGCGGACUUCACUGUUUCAAAAAUUUAAUUUCGUAAUUUUUCUUAAGUUUAGCUGUCCUAAAUCAUUCCUAAACAUCAUGAGGUCUUUCCAAACACAAAUCAUGAAUCCUUGAAUCCAUAAUUCAAUUCAAGAAAGUUAGGAUCAAAGUCAAGUGAAGUUAAGAGUCAAGUCUAAAAGUUAAGAAGCAAGUCUUUAAAGCUUUUCAAGAGUCUUUAUUAAACGUUUUAACUUCGUUUUAAGGCUCAAGUUUCAAGUUAAGUAAAGUGUAUAGAGUUUCAAGUUAAGUAAAGAGUAUAGAGUGUCAAGUCAAGUAAAGAGUAAGAACAAUGUAGCCAAACAUGGGACUUAACGGGUUAUUCUUUUUAGAUGAUCACGUAAGAUUAAGCUAGUGGAUUCACUAAGUAAAGUAAGGUCCUAUAUCACGGAAAAGUAUAGGAUGGUCCUUGGGCAACGUGAGGUAAAACGUUGUAUCAUCACUAGGGCUCAUAGUGGUGGUUGUCGGUUAAAGAAUCUCCCACAAAAGUUAUAUUAACUUUUAUAUAAGUAAAGUUGAGUUGUUAUUGCUUUAUCCUUAACGAACUAAGUUGUUUACACUGUUUUGCAAGCUUUAUAUAUAUUGCGUGUGUCUUAUUGCUUUAUAUUGAGUUCGGUUAUUCAUGAGUUGAAUAGAGCCAAGGUAAGUGUUCUCUUGUACUCCUUUCAAGCUUAAGUUGUUGUUUAGCUUUCCAGCUCGCAUACUCGUACAUUAAAUGUACUGAUGCCAGUUGACAUGUAUCUUAUUAUGAUGCAGACACAGGUACCCAGGAUCAGCAUUCGGCACACCGUUGAUCCAGCCGAGCACUUCCGAGUCAGUGGUGAGCCUCUUUGCAUUCCGGAGUACUCAGUUAUUUUGUUCUCUUAGUUUGUUUUAUUAGGAUGUUCCGGGGUCUGUCCCAACAUCCAUCUCAGUGUUAUAGAGGCUUCAUAGACAGUCAGUCAGUUAGUAUUGAGUCUCUCAUCUAUGUAUAUAUGUAAAUAUUCUAUUUUGAGACUCGAGUUGCCUUUUUGGGCCAGAUUUUAUCAGUUAAGUUGUUUUAUGUCCUUGCAUUGCAUGGAGUUAUUCUGUUGAGUUAGGUUUCCGCUGAGUUAAGAAAGUCAGGCCAAAGGUUCGCUUGGGGCCAACAAUGGUCUUCGAGUGCCAGCCAUGUCCAGGGUAUAGGCUCGGGGCAUGGCAAUCUUUUACGCGAUAAGGUCUUUGGGAACGGUAGGUACCCUCCGGAAUUGGAGAAAAUUGGGAGGUACAUUGGCCACCAGUGUCAAGGGUUGCCACUUGCAAUUGUUGCAAUUGGUGGACUACUUUCCAAGAUGAGCAAGGAAACAAGUUCUUGGGAGAACGUUGCAGAAAAGGUAGGAUCACUUAUGACCAGUGACACUAUGGAUUGCUUGAACAUACUUUCUUUGAGCUACAACCACUUGCCUCAGUACUUGAAAACAAACAUGCUUCCUUUAUAUGGGAGUUUUUGCAGAAACUCAUGAGAUUCCGGUCUGGAAGUUAAUAAAGUUAUGGAUUGCUGAGGGAUUCGUCAAGAAAGUUUAUCAUAAAAAUCUUGAAGAUGUGGCAGAGGAAAAUUUGAGGGAGUUAGUUGAUAGAAGUUUGGUUUUGGUGGGGAAGCAUAGCUCCCUAGGUUUUAUCAAGACUUGUAAAAUGCAUGAUCUCGUUCGAGAUAUGUGUUUGAGAGAAGCCCAAUAUGAGAAUUUUAUUCACUUCAAAACAAGGUAUGACAACGAUGAUCUUCUAGAAAACUUUAAUUGUCUACGUCGUGUAGUUGAUUUCAAUAAAUAUGGAUACAGUGAAAUUCCUAAACUUAUGCCACUCACACGUUCUGUUUUCUUCAAAUAUCCACACUUUUUUUGUUUCCUCUCACAGUCAAGCUUUAGAUUACUUAGGAUAUUAGAUGUUUGCUUUACAUCUUUUUUGUACUGUAGUCAAUCCAUAUCAGAACUUGUUCAUUUGAAGUAUCUUGCUUGUCCGUCCUUUGAUGGUCUUGUGCAAUCAGUAUGUAAGCUACGGAAUAUACAGAACUUAGUUAUUCAUGAUUUAAAUUUAUCUGGUUUACAUAUGAGAACCCAGUCCCUACCAUGGGAAGUUGUGAAUAUGCCUCAACUAAGACAUAUCCAUACAAAAAAGUUCAGUCUUUUCAUACCCCCACCUACAUCACUAAUUGCUGAGAGGGAGAAUCACUUGCAAACGUUAACCGGAUUGGAGCCCUCAUCUUGUAACGAUGAGGUGUUUCUAAGAAUUCCAAAUUUGAAGAAGUUGGGAAUAUUAAUUGUUGAUUCAGACACUAUUAGGAAGUGUUAUUGUCUUGAUAAUCUUGUACAUUUAACUCAGCUUGAGAAGCUCAAAGUUGAGUUCAGCGAGAGUUAUCUGCUAAUUUUUAGGCGGAUUAGCGAAGGUUGGGUGGACCUUUCUUGGCUACACAUUCCACAUUGUGACAAUUUCCCACCAAACCUUAAGAAGUUAACAUUGUGCGGAACUUACCUACAAUGGGAAGACAUGAACAUUCUCAAAAAAUUACCUAAUCUUGAGGUGCUCAAACUUAAACAUCAUGCCUUUCACGGACUAAUUUGGAAACUAAGCGAUGAAGAUGAAGAUGGAUUCUUUCAGUUAAAGUUUUUACUUCUUGAGAGCUUGCAUCUGAAGCAAUGGGAAGCAACAAGUUAUCAUUUUCCAAGCCUUGAGCACUUAGUCCUAACAGAUUGCUAUUCAUUGGAGCAAAUUCCUUUCGACUUUGCAGAGAUUCAAACACUACAGCUGAUUGAACUACACAAAUGCAUGCUUUCUGUUCUUGAUUUAGCAGAGCAAAUACAAGAGGAGCAACAAAGUUUGGGAAAUGAUGACCUUGUUAUUCGUGUGAACUAUAUACGUGAGUAACAUUAAUAAAAAAGGUAUACAUUUUUUAAAAGCAUAAAGAUUUUUUUUCCUGAAUUUUUCUUACAUAGCUCUUAUCUUGGAUAACUUUUUCUAUCUUAUAAAAGUUAGUGUGCAGUACAAAAUAUUAAUUUGAUUAGCUAGAUUCUUUCGAAAUCUGAAAUUGAUUCUUAUAUUCAUCAUUUUUAUUUAUUUAUACUAUAAAAGGUGCUAAUUACAAUAGGUUUUGUGCAUUGCAGACAAAAAACUUAGUUGAUGGAGAGUGCCAUAAGAUAUACUCAAGCAUAAAUAAGUUGAUCACUCUUUGCAGUAGUUGAUCUUACCUUUCAGUGUAUUUCGAUUUCCUUUUUCCAGUUCAACUUGUUUGGGACUGAGGCUUAGUUUAGUGAAUUGUAUAUCUAGAUAUAAUUCAAAUAUAAUGCAUUUACUUUGGAAUGUGUAUGUAUUUGAACGUACUUCUCUUAGUUGCUUGUACCACCAUGUUGAAUCAAUAUAUUUAUUUGCAGGCAUUGUCCAAAAACAGGCACCUUGUUAUUAUAGUUAAAGUUAGCAAGCAUUUUCCUUCCAAGGAUCAAGUUCAAUUAUUCUGAGCAUGUUCAAUGGAUAACAGGGAUGGAAUAGAGGUUGAAUGGUAGGAGACAGUAUGCUUAGAGAGAAAGAAGGGUGUGAACUUUUUGUACGUCAUUUGCCUACUUUUUUUGAAACAUUCCCAGUCGUUUUGGUAGAUGAUGAUUGAAUUGUUAGACCCGAUGUUCCUUUUAUUAGGUGAGAAUCAGAGUUUAGUGUUGAACACGUAGGUGUAAUCAUUGAGUUCUACUGCUGUGAAGUGGGUGAAAUUUUCGAAUUAUAUCGUGCUACUUUGAAAACCUAUGGUGUUUCUUCAUAGCAGUCAAAAGGGUUGAUUUACUUUUGGCCUUUGGGCAUGCUUCGUUUGCUUUGCUCUUCUUCUUCAGACACAUUUGGCAUGACACUAGAACCUUGUUUGUGUUUUUUCUUAGGGUUGAUUUAUCAGAUAAUCACUCCAUUAAUAGUUAUUAUCUCAAAAAGUCACAAUUCUUCUUUUUUCCAAAUUUUUUUCUACAAAGAAAGUGACUUUCUGAGAUAAUAACUAUUAAUCGAGUGACCAUAUGAGAAAUCAACUCGUUUUUCUUUUAAGAAAUAUUCUUGUUGGUUCACUCAAUGAUGCCUUUUUAUCUUUUAUCAUCUUGCUAAUGGGACAUUGGACAAGUCUUUAAUUUAGACAAUCUUGUAGUUAGUUGCUAUGAAGUUUCAAAUUCCAUAGCAGAAACUCCAGUAUAUUGUCAUGGAGUAAAACUUGUAAAAACAACAACAUACCUAGUGUAGUAUCAUAAGUGAAGUCUAGGGAGGAUAAGAUGUACACAGACCAUAUCCCUACCUUUGUAGUGUAGAGACGGAGUUUGUUUCCGAUAGGCCCUCGACUCAACAAUAAAGAAAAGAACUUGAAGCAUGGUAGCAAGAAAAUAUGACAGAAAAAAAAGUAAGAUACAGAUCAAAUGAAGCAACAAAUAGUAAUACACAUCGAAGAAAAAGAAACAAAGUGCAACAAUACUUGGCUACCUACUAACCUUCUAAUCUAAUCCUCAACUUUCACUCCUUCCUAUCUAGGGUCAUAUCCGAAAUAAAACUUGUAGAUUUUGAAAUUACAUGACUAUAGUUAUUUUUCGAAGAUAUGUCCGAAAAGCGGCUCUCUAGUAUGAAUGUAGUUUGGGCAAGUUGUAUGACUUUGGGUGUCUGACAAACUAUUCCAACUUGCUUUUUGGUACAAGUCUUAAAUACAAUUUGAGUCUCAAUCUGACAAAUAAUUCAAUGAGCAAAACAAGAAUUCUCACUUCUACCUUCCACCAACCCCACCAUUACUCUCUUGGAGAGAAACAGACACAAAGAGAAGACUUCUCUUUACAAAGCCUUAAAAGUCUUGCAUUCCCAUCCAUUACAUUGCCUUCUUCUUUCAUAAAGAAUUGGUUUUGAGAAUCUAAAUCAACAACUCAGAACUUCCUCCUACUGUCCUGUUUAGCAAGAAACUAACAAACAGCGAUAUGGCGGCGUAUGCUGCUGUGAAUUCACUUUUGCAUACGCUGGAUAAUCUAUCUCAAACUCAUACAUCACAUUCUCUUCUUUACAAAAAAAAGCAAACUGAAGUCCUCAGUGACAAGUACACCUUCCUUAAAACCUUUCUUGAGGAUUUUACUAAUAUUUUCCAUGAAGAUGUAAAGAUGAAGCAUCUCGAAAGGAUAAUCCAAGAAGCUGCUAAUGGAGUGGAAGAUACUAUUGACUCACAUGUAUAUGAUAGCUCUGCCUUAGUACAAAGCAAGCGAGUACGAAGAAAGGCUUAUACGAUCUUUCAUCAAAACUUGGAAUAUGCAAUUGAGGAAAUUGGUUUGAUACAAAAAGAGGUUAUGAAAAAGAUAAAGGUCAACAAGUUCAACAGCAAAAUCUCUCAUUCAAGAGAUACUUCAUCUCAGAUCCCUAUGGAUCAAAAAGAUGUAAUCAUUGGACUGGAUGAAGACUUGCUAAAGAUAAAAGAUCGACUCAUCGUGCAAUCAUCAAGACUCGAAGUUGUCCCCAUUAUAGGGAUGGGUGGUAUUGGCAAGACCACACUGGCUAGAAGAGUUUAUGAUGAUUCCUUGAUUGCAUACCAUUUUUAUGUNNNNNNNNNNNNNNNNNNNNNNNNNNNNNNNNNNNNNNNNNNNNNNNNNNNNNNNNNNNNNNNNNNNNNNNNNNNNNNNNNNNNNNNNNNNNNNNNNNNNNNNNNNNNNNNNNNNNNNNNNNNNNNNNNNNNNNNNNNNNNNNNNNNNNNNNNNNNNNNNNNNNNNNNNNNNAAAGAAACAGUACUACUGAGCAAUUGGCUGAAAGAGUUUAUCGAAAUUUAAAAGGGAGGAAGUAUCUUAUUGUCCUAGAUGAUAUGUGGUCUAUCAAGGCUUGGCAGCAUGUGAGGAGAUCAUUUCCAGAUGAUCGUAAUGGAAGUCGAAUCGUGUUGACCACAAGGCUUGUAGAUGUUGCAUCUUGUGUUUGCUCUGGCAAUUCCCUUCACCAGAUGCGUUUUCUGAGCAUGGAGGAAAGCUGGGAUCUUUUAAGCGGUAAGGUCUUUGGGAAUGGUAGUUACCCUCCGGACAAAAUCUCACAUUCAAGAGAUACUUCCUCACUGCUCCCUUUGUAUCAAAAAGAUAUAAUCGUUGGACUGGAUGAAGACUUGCUGAAGAUAAAAGAACGACUCACCGUGCAAUCGUCAAGACUCGAAGUUGUCCCCAUUAUAGGGAUGGGUGGUAUUGGCAAGACCACACUGGCUAGAAGAGUUUAUGAUGAUUCCUUGAUUGCAUACCAUUUUUAUGUCCGAGCAUGGGCAAAUGUAUCUCAAGAAUUUGACACUAGAGAAAUUUUUCUUGGUAUUCUUCGCUCCAUUGGCAUGGUCAACGAUGAAGAAGAAAGAAACAGUACUACUGAGCAAUUGGCUGAAAGAGNNNNNNNNNNNNNNGUCAACGAUGAAGUAGAAAGAAACAGUACUAAUGAGCAAUUGGCUGAAAGAGUUUAUCGAAGUUUAAAAGGGAUGAAGUAUCUUAUUGUCCUAGAUGAUAUGUGGUCCAUCAAGGCUUGGCAGCAUGUGAGGAGAUCAUUUCCAGAUGAUCGUAAUGGAAGUCGAAUCGUGUUGACCACAAGGCUUGUAGAUGUUGCAUCUUGUGUUUGCUCUGGCAAUUCCCUUCACCAGAUGCGUUUUCUGAGCAUGGAGGAAAGCUGGGAUCUUUUAAGCGGUAAGGUCUUUGGGAAUGGUAGUUACCCUCCGGAAUUGGAGAAAAUUGGGAGGUACAUUGGCCAUCAGUGUCAAGGGUUGCCACUUGCAGUUGUUGCAAUUGGUGGACUACUUUCCAAGAUGAGCAAGGAAACAAGUUCUUGGGAGAAUGUUGCAGAAAAGGUAGGAUCACUUAUGACAAGUGACACUAUGGAUUGCUUGAACAUACUUUCUUUGAGCUACAACCACUUGCCUCAGUACUUGAAAACAUGCUUCCUUUAUAUGGGAGUUUUUGCAGAAACUCGUGAGAUCCCGGUCUGGAAGUUAAUAAAGUUAUGGAUUGCUGAGGGCUUCGUCAAGAAAGUUAAUCAUAAAAAUCUAGAAGAUGUGGCAGAGGAAAAUUUGAGGGAGUUGGUUGAUAGAAGUUUGGUUUGGUGGGAAGCAUACUUCACUAGGAAAAAUCAAGACUUGUAAGAUGCAUGAUCUCGUUCGAGAUAUGUGUUUGAGAGAAGCCCAAUAUGAGAAUUUUAUACACUUCGAAACAAGGUAUAACCAUGAUGAUCUUCUAGAAAACAUUAAUUGUCUACGCCGUGUAGUUGAUUUCAAUAAGUAUAGAUACAGUUUUGAUAUUCCUAAACUUAUGCCACUCACACGUUCUCUUUUCUUGAAAUAUCCAUACUCUGUUUGUUCCCUCUCACAGUCAAGCUUUAGAUUACUUAGGAUAUUAGAUGUUUGCUUUACAUCUCGUUUGUACCGUAGUAUGUCCAUAACAGAACUUGUUCAUUUGAGGUAUCUUGCUUGUCCAUCCUUCAAUGGUCUUGUGCAAUCACUAUGCAAGCUACGGAAUAUACAGAACUUAGUUAUUCAGGAUUUACGUUCAUCUGGUUUACGUAGGAGAACCCAGUUCCUACCAUGGGAAGUUGUGAAUAUGCCUAAACUAAGACAUAUCCAUACAAAAAAGUUUAGUCUUUUCAUACCCCCUACAUCACUAAUUGCUGAGAGGGAGAAUCAUUUACAAACGUUAACCGGAUUGAUGCCCUCAUCUUGUAAUGAAGAGGUGUUUCUAAGAAUUCCAAAUUUGAAGAAGUUGGGAAUUUUAAUUGUUGAUGAUUCAGACACUAUUCAGAAGUGUUAUUGCCUUGAUAAUCUUGUACAUUUAACUCAGCUUGAGAAGCUCAAAGUUGAGGUCAGAGAGAGUUGGCUAAUUUUUAGGCCGACUAUCAAAGGUUGGGUGGACAUUCCACAUUGUGACAAUUUCCCACCAAACCUUAAGAAGUUAACAUUGUGCACAACACACCUAGAAUGGGAAGACAUGAACAUUCUUAGUAAGUUACCUAACCUUGAGGUGCUCAAACUUAAAGAUCAUGCCUUUCGCGGACAUAUUUGGAAACUAAGCGAUGAAGACGCAGAUGGAUUCUUGAAGCUAAAGUUUUUACUUCUUGAGCACAUGCAUCUGGAGCAAUGGGAAGCAACAAGUUAUCAUUUCCCAAGCCUUGAGCACUUAGUCCUAACACAUUGCCAUUCGUUGGAGCAAAUUCCUUUCGACUUUGCGGAGAUUCAGACACUACAGCUGAUUGAACUACACAAUUGUAUGCGUUCUGUUCUUGUUUCAGCAGAGCAAAUACAAGAGGAGCAACAAAGCUUUGGAAAUGAUGACCUCAUUAUUCGUGUGAACUCUAUCUAUACUAGAGUAAACAUUAAUAAAAAAGGUAUACACUUUUUUUAAAAGCAUAAAAAAAUUUGAUUAGCUAGAUUCCUUCGAAAUCUGAAAAUGAUUUUUAUAUUCAUCAUUUUCACUUAUUUAUACUAUAAAAGGUGCUAAUUACAAUUUGUUAAAUAACUCAAUAAUAUGGAGCCCAAAUGUAAUUUUCUAACUUUGUUUCUUCUUGUAUUUCUUUCCACAUAAAUAUUGAACUUUCAACUUCACACAUAAAAUCAAUGUUAAAUUUGUCUUACNNNNNNNNNNNNNNNNNNNNNNNNNNNNNNNNNNNNNNNNNNNNNNNNNNNNNNNNNNNNNNNNNNNNNNNNNNNNNNNNNNNNNNNNNNNNNNNNNNNNAAAAAAAAAAAAAAAUCCCCCCUUUUCCUGUUUCAGUUUAAAGUUCAAAUCUUUUUACUGAUAAUCAUUUUCUUUUUUUGCAGAGUUAUGGAGAGCAACACUUGUGAGGUUCUUGAUUGCAAGAGUAACUUCUUUUCCCCCAUAGUAAAGUUUCCUCUUUUUUUAUUUCUCAAUACAUUGCAUUUUUGUUAUUGUUAUUGUUGUUGUUGUUGUUGUGGGUUAGUACAUAAAUGUUGAUCUUGUUUGUGCUUAAUUAGUAUUUCAGAAAGUCACGCUUCUUCUUGAUUCCGAUUUUUUCGACAAAGAAAGUGACCUGAUAAAAAUAAUGUAACUAUUAGUUGAAUGACCAUUUUAGAUAGUGACAUUCCAAUUUUUUUCGACAAAGAAAGUGACGUUACCUAAUCAUAGUUAUUUUUUAAAGAUAUGACCAAAAAGUGGCUCAUUACAGUAUGAAUGUAGUUUUGGGCAAGUUGUAUGACUUUGGGCCUGAUUUGAACAAACUAUUCCAAUUUGCCUCUUGGUACAAGUCUUAAUUACCAUUGACUUCAAUCAAAAUAAUUCAGAAUUCUCUAUUCUAACCAUCCACCAACCCCACAAAGAGAAACAGACACAAAGAGAAGACUUAUCUUUACAUAGCCUAAAAGUCUAGCAUUCCCAUCCAUUACAUUGCCUUCUUCUUUCAUAAAGAAUUGGUUUUGAGCAUCUAAAUCAACAACUCAGAACUUCCUAGUCUUCCACAUACCUCUUACUGUCCUGUUUAGUAAGAAACUAACAAACAGCGAUAUGGCGGCGUAUGCUGCUGUGACUUCACUUCUGCAAACCCUGGAUCAUUUAUCUCAAACUCAUACAUCACAUUCUCUUCUUUACAAAAAAGAGCAGACUGAAGUCCUCAGUGAGAAGUACACCUUCCUUAAAACCUUUCUUGAGGAUUUUACUAAUAUUUUCAAUGAAGAUAUAAAGAUGAAGCAUCUGGAAAGGAUGAUCCAAGAAGCUGCUAAUGGAGUGGAAGAUACCAUCGACUCACAUGCAUAUGAUAGCUCUGUCGUAGUACAAAGCAAGCGAGUACGAAGAAAGGCUGAUAUGAUCUUUCAUCAAAACUUGGAAUAUGCAAUUGAGGAAAUUGGUUUGAUACAAAGAGAGGUAAUGAAAAAGAUAAAGGUCAGCAGUUUUAACAGAAAAAUCUCACAUUCAAGAGAUACUUCNNNNNNNNNNNNNNNNNNNNNNNNNNNNNNNNNNNNNNNNNNNNNNNNNNNNNNNNNNNNNNNNNNNNNNNNNNNNNNNNNNNNNNNNNNNNNNNNNNNNNNNNNNNNNNNNNNNNNNNNNNNNNNNNNNNNNNNNNNNNNNNNNNNNNNNNNNNNNNNNNNNNNNNNNNNNNNNNNNNNNNNNNNNNNNNNNNNNNNNNNNNNNNNNNNNNNNNNNNNNNNNNNNNNNNNNNNNNNNNNNNNNNNNNNNNNNNNNNNNNNNNNNNNNNNNNNNNNNNNNNNNNNNNNNNNNNNNNNNNNNNNNNNNNNNNNNNNNNNNNNNNNNNNNNNNNNNNNNNNNNNNNNNNNNNNNNNNNNNNNNNNNNNNNNNNNNNNNNNNNNNNNNNNNNNNNNNNNNNNNNNNNNNNNNNNNNNNNNNNNNGUAGAUGUUGCAUCUUGUGCUUGCUCUGGCAAUUCCCUUCACCAGAUGCGUUUUCUGAGCAUGGAGGAAAGCUGGACUCUUUUACGCGAUAAGGUUUUUGGGAAUGGUGGUUACCCUCCGGAAUUGGAGAAAAUUGGGAGGUACAUUGGCCAUCAGUGUCAAGGGUUGCCACUUGCAGUUGUUGCAAUUGGUGGACUACUUUCCAAGAUGAGCAAGGAAACAAGUUCUUGGGAGAAUGUUGCAGAAAAGGUAGGAUCACUUAUGACCAGCGACACUAUGGAUUGCUUGAACAUACUUUCGUUGAGCUACAACCACUUGCCUCAGUACUUGAAAACAUGCUUCCUUUAUAUGGGAGUUUUUGCAGAAACUCGUGAGAUUCCAGUCUGGAAGUUAAUAAAAUUAUGGAUUGCUGAGGGCUUCGUCAAGAGAGUUAAUCAUAAAAAUCUAGAAGAUGUGGCAGAGGAAAAUUUGAGGGAGUUGGUUGAUAGAAGUUUGGUUUUGGUGGGGAAGCAUACUUCCCUAGGAAAAAUCAAGACUUGUAAGAUGCAUGAUCUCGUUCGAGAUAUGUGUUUGAGAGAAGUCCAAUAUGAGAAUUUUAUACACUUCAAAACGAGGUAUGACUAUGAUGAUCUUCUAGAAAACAUUAGUUGUCUACGUCGUGUAGCUGAUUUCCAUAAGUAUACACACAGUGGACUUUCUAAACUUAUGCCACUCACACGUUCUGUUUUCUUCAAAUAUCCAUACUUUUUUUGUUACCUCUCACAGUCGAGCUUUAGAUUACUGAGGAUAUUAGAUGUUUGCUUUACAUGUUUUUUCUCCUGUAGUCAGUCCGUAUCAGAACUUGUUCAUUUGAGGUAUAUUGCUUGUCCGUCCUUCAAUGGUCUUGUGCAAUCACUAUGCAAGCUACGGAAUAUACAGAACUUAGUUAUUCAUGAUUCACAUCCAUUUGGUUCAAGUAUGAGAACCCAGUCCCUACCAUGGGAAGUUGUGAAUAUGCCUCAACUAAAACAUAUCCAUACAAAAAAGUUGAGUCUUUUCAUAUCCCCACCUACAUCAGUAUUAAUUUCUGAGAGGGAGAAUCACUUACAAACGUUAACCGGAUUGAUGCCCUCAUCUUGUAACGAUGAGGUGUUUCUACGAAUUCCAAAUUUGAAGAAGUUGGGAAUUUUAAUUGUUGAUGAAUCAGACACUAUUCAGAAGUGUUAUUGUCUUGAUAAUCUUGUACAUUUAACUCAGCUUGAGAAGCUCAAAGUUGAGGUCAGCGAGAGUUAUCUGCUAAUUUUUAUGCGGAUUAGCGAAGGUUGGGUGGACAUUCCACAUUGUGACAAUUUCCCACCAAACCUUAAGAAGUUAACAUUGUGCAGAACGCACCUACAAUGGGAAGACAUGAACAUUCUCAGUAAGUUACCUAAUCUUGAGGUGCUCAAACUUAAACAUCAUGCCUUUCACGGACUAAUUUGGAAACUAAGCCAUGAAGACGAAGAUGGAUUCUUGAAGCUAAAGUUUUACUCUUGAGCGCAUGAGUCUGAAGCAAUGGGAAGCAACAAGUUAUCAUUUUCCAAGCCUUGAGCACUUAGUCCUAACAAAUUGCCGGUACUUGGAAAAAAUUCCUUUCGACUUUGCGGAGAUUCAGACAC